UAACACUUGCUGGAGAAGCAGGGCACGUGCGAACUAAUGAGAGAUCUGUACAUGUUGAUCAUAUUUUUGCACGUGUUCUACUACUCCAACACGUGUGU
Molecule: microRNA precursor, 98 nt
Filed under: Brassica napus (rape)
Lineage: Eukaryota; Viridiplantae; Streptophyta; Magnoliopsida; Brassicales; Brassicaceae
Also listed under: 1 other name
Description: brassica napus miR164c stem-loop
Rfam family: MIR164 microRNA precursor family
Source: RNAcentral